Molecule: ribosomal RNA, 548 nt
Filed under: Phelotrupes formosanus
Lineage: Eukaryota; Metazoa; Arthropoda; Insecta; Coleoptera; Geotrupidae
Description: partial 16S ribosomal RNA
Rfam family: Bacterial large subunit ribosomal RNA
Source: RNAcentral
GCCUGUUUAUCAAAAACAUGGCUUUUUGAUUAUAAUUUAAAGUUUGACCUGCCCAAUGAAAUUUGAAUGGCCGCAGUAUAUUGACUGUGCAAAGGUAGCAUAAUAAUUAGUUUUUUAAUUGGAAACUGGUAUGAAUGGUUGGACGAGAAAAAGACUGUCUCUAUUUAAUUUAAUUAGAAUUUUAUUUUUAAGUUAAAAAGCUUAAAUAUAUUUAAAAGACGAGAAGACCCUAUAGAGUUUUAUAUAAUUUAUAUAUUAUAAUUUAAAGUAUUAAAAUUAAAAUAUUAAAAUUGUAUUUAGUUGGGGUGACUAAAAAAUUUAAUAAACUUUUUUUUUAUUAAAACAUUGAUAUAUGAAUAUGUGAUCCAUUAUUUAUGAUUAAAAGAUUAAAUUACCUUAGGGAUAACAGCGUAAUUUUUUUUGAGAGUUCUUAUCGAAAAAAAAGAUUGCGACCUCGAUGUUGGAUUAAAAUUAACUUUUGGUGUAGAAGCUAAAAAAGUUAGGUCUGUUCGACCUUUAAAAUUUUACAUGAUCUGAGUUCAGACCGG